This 246-nucleotide ribosomal RNA is filed under the name uncultured bacterium. RNAcentral describes it as "partial 16S ribosomal RNA". It matches the Rfam family "Bacterial small subunit ribosomal RNA", at positions 796 to 1041 of the family's 1533-position model. RNAcentral also lists the same sequence under 2 other names. The record is from RNAcentral.
CACGCCGUAAACGAUGUCAACUAGUUGUUGGGUUCCUUGAGGACUUAGUAACGCAGCUAACGCAUUAAGUUGACCGCCUGGGGAGUACGGCCGCAAGGUUAAAACUCAAAUGAAUUGACGGGGGCCCGCACAAGCGGUGGAGCAUGUGGUUUAAUUCGAAGCAACGCGAAGAACCUUACCUGGCCUUGACAUGCUGAGAACUUUCUAGAGAUAGAUUGGUGCCUUCGGGAACUCAGACACAGGUGC